UACGGAGGGUGCAAGCGUUAUCCGGAUUCACUGGGUUUAAAGGGUGCGUAGGUGGCUUGGUAAGUCAGUGGUGAAAGCCCGGAGCUCAACUCCGGAACUGCCAUUGAUACUGCUUAGCUUGAAUCAGGUCGAGGUGGAUGGAAUAUUACAUGUAGCGGUGAAAUGCUUAGAUAUGUAAUAGAACACCAAUUGCGAAGGCAGUUCACUAGGCCUGUAUUGACACUGAGGCACGAAAGCGUGGGGAUCAAACAGG
RNAcentral lists this ribosomal RNA (253 nucleotides) under uncultured bacterium. RNAcentral's name for it is "partial 16S ribosomal RNA". It matches the Rfam family "Bacterial small subunit ribosomal RNA", at positions 524 to 776 of the family's 1533-position model. The record is from RNAcentral.